GUUUGAACAGGGCAGGGGGUCGCUGCCGAAUCCGUACAUACGGGACGGCCUAAUUGCACGUGCUAGAACACAUGCGCAUCUCCAUAAGGCCGACUCCUGGAAAGAAACAUCACACGCAGGAAGAGAAAACAUCUGUGCUGCUACAUUUGGACACAGAACGCAGCAGAAGAUCACGGCGAUGUGACGUGACUUUGGACGGGCGCGCACUCUGCGAAUUCAGCAUUUACACAAGAGACUU
Long non-coding RNA from Hippocampus zosterae (dwarf seahorse), 238 nucleotides. RefSeq lists it as uncharacterized. NCBI's taxonomy places the organism in Eukaryota, Metazoa, Chordata, Actinopteri, Syngnathiformes, Syngnathidae. The transcript is spliced from 2 exons. The record is from RefSeq and is a predicted model, not a curated record.